AACCAUGGCGAACGGGUGAGUAACACGUANGUAACCUGUCUUUAAGACGAGGAUAACCAUUGGAAACGAUGGAUAAUACUGGAUAGGACAAAUCCCCGCAUGAGGAGAUGUUUAAAGGAGCAAUCCACUUAGAGAGGGGCCUGCGGCGCAUUAGCUAGUUGGUGAGGUAAUGGCCCACCAAGGCGAUGAUGCGUAGCCGGACUGAGAGGUUGAACGGCCACAAUGGAACUGAGAACGGUCCAUACUCCUACGGGAGGCAGCAGUAGGGAAUUUUCGGCAAUGGGCGGAAGCCUGACCGAGCAAUGCCGCGUGAACGAUGAAGUAUUUCGGUAUGUAAAGUUCUUUUAUUUGGGAAGAAAAAACAAAUUGACUGUACCAAAUGAAUAAGCUCCGGCUAACUACGUGCCAGCAGCCGCGGUAAUACGUAGGGAGCGAGCGUUAUCCGGAUUUAUUGGGCGUAAAGGGUGCGUAGACUGCAUAGAAAGUCCUUUGUUAAAAUGCUUGGCUCAACCAAGUAGUGCAAAGGAGACUUCUGAGCUAGAGUGUGAUAGAGGUAAGUGGAACUCCAUGUGUAGCGGUAAAAUGCGUAAAUAUAUGGAAGAACACCAGUGGCGAAAGCGGCUUACUAGAUCAACACUGACGUUGAGGCACGAAAGCGUGGGGAGCAAACAGGAUUAGAUACCCUGGUAGUCCACGCCCUAAACGAUGAGUACUAAGUGUUGGUGUAAAUCAGUGCUGAAGUUAACGCAUUAAGUACUC
RNAcentral lists this ribosomal RNA (759 nucleotides) under uncultured bacterium. Its description in RNAcentral is "bacterial SSU rRNA". It matches the Rfam family "Bacterial small subunit ribosomal RNA", at positions 91 to 869 of the family's 1533-position model. The record is from RNAcentral.